AUCCAAAAAAACCCUAAUUUUGAGUCUUCUCCUCUUCUCCUCUUCGACAAAUCCUCUUCGACAAAACCAAAUCCACUCUUCGCCACCGUCAACAUUUCUUCUUCUCUGCCUCUCGUCGGAGCUCGCCGGUGGUUUGUCGGCCUCUACCUCUUCGAGUCUUCAGUCUUCACUUUGAUUCGAGACUCUGUCUCUCUGCCUCGACCUCCCAUUCGCGACUCUGUCUUCUCUCUUUUUUGGUUCUCUUCUUCUUUCGUUGGUGGCUCACCAGAGCUCAUGCUCAUCAAUUGAGAUUUUAAAAUCUCUUAGUAUUGAACAUUUGAACUCUCCAUUUCAAUGGAUCCUGCUGUAAGUUUCUUCUUCACUGUAGUUCACUUUUUGUUGAAAAAUAUCUAAUUAAACUAAGUAGUAGUUGAAUCCUUGAUGAACUGAUUGCCAUGCUCAUUUAUUAUUUUUUUGGUUCAUGCAUGUACCAUAAUAUAUAUAGUAUAUAUGUAGCGCUAGUUGUUUAUAUACGGUGUAUGAAUUUUCAAAUUGAACCCCCCUAAAACUUGAUUUC
Non-coding RNA from Arachis ipaensis, 556 nucleotides. Lineage: Eukaryota; Viridiplantae; Streptophyta; Magnoliopsida; Fabales; Fabaceae. The record is from RefSeq and is a predicted model, not a curated record.